CAUGGAUGACAGUUUCCUCAGAAAAUGGCAGAAUUGUUGCAAGGCCUGGUCCCUAAUCCCAGGUGUGGAGGAGCCACAUGGAUCUUAGGCCUCAAAAUCCAUGGUCUGCCUAUAGGACCAAGUAAGGAAUACAAUCCCACAGAAGAAAGGGUUUUUUGAUGGCAACCAUAGAUGGUUACAACUACUCAAGUUCAGG
Molecule: non-coding RNA, 196 nt
Organism: Podarcis muralis (Common wall lizard)
Lineage: Eukaryota; Metazoa; Chordata; Lepidosauria; Squamata; Lacertidae
Source: RefSeq, a predicted model, not a curated record